CAGCGGCCUGGAGGCUCUCCCAAGCCGGCCCCGCCCCACCAGCCUGACCAAGACCCUAGCCUGCCUCCCGGCUCCUCCCCGGACCCAGCUCGCCCCUGCGGACUAAACACGCCCCCAAACAGAGGCCCGGCUCCUCCCCCCGAGUCAACCCCGCCCCUCUGCACUUCCUCCUGGAGGUCCUCCAGCUCUCGUUUCCCGGCCCGCCGCCCACAGCUCGCCAGGCCUCGUAGGCCUCGGUGCGCUGGGGAAAGCCGUCCGGGCCCGCUGCUGACGCCGUGGCCGCGGCCGGGCCAAGGUUCCGGGCGGACCCCGCCGACUCAGUGAGACUCCUCGAAAGGGCUGCCAGUCCUCAGCGUCUCUGUUACCUGUGCUGCGUGCUUUUUAGAAACGAAGGCGGCCUUCCCACCAGGGUUCCACCGAAGCACUUGUCAGGGUUUCUGGUGGCUUCCCGUGGCUCCUCCGCCCUCGGUGCCUGGCCUCUGGGACACGCCUUCUCCGGGUCUCCUGUGCUCCACCCCCAGCCCGCCGCCUCUUCCACCUCCUCUGGCUCUGUCCUGGGGCCCUGCCUGUGUGCACUCAACCACCCGGGGUCCCGUUGUUUGAAUUACUCUCUGGGUGUUCUCUGUGCCCACUACUCUUCACCUUUUCUAUUUCCACAAUAAAAAGAUGAAAAAAGUACCAUCCCUGUGCCGCCAGUGUACACGGAUUACUAUUGCAGCUCUCCUAAUAGCCCCAAACUGGAGACAGCGUAGAUGCCCUUCAGGCGGUGCUGGUCAAACAGACUGUGCGUCCACACUGAGGGAGCCCACUCAGCAAAAAGGAUGGGCGCUGGGCACACACGGCAGCUUGUGUGCAUCUCAAGGGAGUGUGCCGAGCGAACACAGACCCCGAAAAGCCAGACUGUGUGGUUCCAUCUAUGCACCUUGCUUGAAAUGACAAAUGAUGUGACUGGAGAUCAGAUCACCGUUGUCGGGAGUCACUAACAGAUGGGUCACUAACAGAUCAACGACUUGGGGCAGCUGUGAAAGGGCAACAGGAGGGCUCCAUGGGGCUGGAACGUUCUGGUUUUCGACUGAAUCAACACAAGGUCCUGGUUGUGAUUUGGGGUAUAUGUGUAUGGGUA
This is a long non-coding RNA of Physeter macrocephalus (sperm whale), 1123 nucleotides long. RefSeq lists it as uncharacterized. The transcript has 3 exons. NCBI's taxonomy places the organism in Eukaryota, Metazoa, Chordata, Mammalia, Artiodactyla, Physeteridae. The record is from RefSeq and is a predicted model, not a curated record.